UACAGAGGUCCCGAGCGUUGUUCGGAUUCAUUGGGCGUAAAGGGUGCGUAGGCGGUUUGCUAAGUUUGAUGUGAAAGCCCGGGGCUUAACCCUGGAAUGGCAUUGAAUACUGGCGAACUAGAGUACUGGAGAGGAAACUGGAAUUUACGGUGUAGCAGUGAAAUGCGUAGAGAUCGGGAGGAACACCAGUGGCGAAGGCGGCCUUCUGGACCAAUACUGACGCUCAUGCACGAAAGCGUGGGGAGCAAACAGG
This 253-nucleotide ribosomal RNA is filed under the name uncultured bacterium. RNAcentral's name for it is "partial 16S ribosomal RNA". It matches the Rfam family "Bacterial small subunit ribosomal RNA", at positions 524 to 776 of the family's 1533-position model. The record is from RNAcentral.